GUUUGACCCUUGAGCAGAGGUUGCCCUUGGUGAAUUCGCUUUAUUUAUGUUGAAUCACACAAAGGCAACUUUUGUUUGAGUAUCAAAU
MicroRNA precursor from Pongo abelii (Sumatran orangutan), 88 nucleotides. Lineage: Eukaryota; Metazoa; Chordata; Mammalia; Primates; Hominidae. The record is from Ensembl.